RNAcentral lists this ribosomal RNA (118 nucleotides) under Callithrix jacchus (white-tufted-ear marmoset). Lineage: Eukaryota; Metazoa; Chordata; Mammalia; Primates; Cebidae. The record is from RNAcentral.
GUCUACGGCCAUACCACCCUGAAUACACCUGAUCUCGUCUAAUCUCGAAAGCUAAGCAGGGUCAGGCCUAGUUAGUACUUGGAUGGGAGACUGCCUGGAAUACCAGGUGCCAUAGGCA